Molecule: transfer RNA, 92 nt
Filed under: Ehrlichia ruminantium (heartwater rickettsia)
Lineage: Bacteria; Pseudomonadati; Pseudomonadota; Alphaproteobacteria; Rickettsiales; Anaplasmataceae
Also listed under: 2 other names
Description: tRNA-Ser
Rfam family: tRNA
About the family: Transfer RNA (tRNA) molecules are approximately 80 nucleotides in length.
Source: RNAcentral
GGAGAGAUGGCCGAGAGGCUGAAGGCGACGGUUUGCUAAACCGUUAUACGACUUAAAUCGUAUCGGGGGUUCGAAUCCCUCUCUCUCCGCCA